GGCAUCCAGCAUGCCGUCACCUGCUCACGCAUGGGUCCUCUCUAUGGAUCCCUAGGUUCCCGCUCCCUGCCCUCAGGGUAGAAUCUCAAUCCUUGAGCUGAUCAUCAAAGUUUCCCUUCUGCCUCCAGCAAAGGCUCAAAAGAAGAUUCAGAGGCACUAGGAAGAGGAGGUAGCUGUCCCAUGGCCUCCACUGGGAAAAGAAAGAGAAGCAUCAGUGUGUUGAGUCGCUAAAGAAGCAGUCUUUCCAAGACGCUAUGGGCAGUCCUUAUCUUAUGGGAAGACUGGAAGACUGAAUGUCCAGCAGUAGACUGAAUAGGCAGCGAAAGACAGUGAACACGCUGUUAUGUGUCUUAAGAAUUAAGAUGAGUUGGGAGAUGGCGCAGUCAUCUAGGCGCUUGCCCUGCAAACACAAGAACUUGAUUUUAAAUCCUUGUCAUAUGUCACCACCCAUGUGACAAGCCAAGUGUGUCACCGUGCAUCUGGAAUGUCAGUGACGGGCAGCCCACUUGCUUACACCACCCAGCUCAUGGAGCCAAACCGGUGAGCUCCAGGGUCACCGAGAGACUCUGUCUCAAAAAACAAGCUUCAACUCAAGAUUCAUUGGCCAUGUUGCUCUGGGCUAUGGUAAGGCAGUGUACCACGGUAUAUGGAAGAGCAAAAUCUCUAACUUCAAGGCCAGAAGAAAAGGAAAGGGAGGAAGAGAACAGGCUCCCACAACCCCUUUUGUGCUUACAUGAAUCAGUGGCACAAGGAUAUCCCAUUAGGUCCCACCACCUCCCAAUAGCACUGUGUUAACAGAUCAAGCCUUCUCCACGUGAGCCUUUGGGGACAGUCCAGUCCAAGUAAGAGCAACUGCUGUUAUGGCUACAUGGAAUUGAGAGGUUGGCAGAAGCAAGUCUUAGAGAAUCACCCAAAAGAGUGGCACACAAGGGAAUCUAAGCAAGAGGAUACCAUGAGAAGGUGUAAGGAAUGGAAGGGGGUCCCUAGAACAGAGCCAGCCUUGCCCCAAGGGCUUUGCAGAACAGAGGACAGGAUACGUACUAGCACAGGUCUGUCCUUCAGAUGUGGAGACUCAGGGAUGGAACAGCAGAGAAAGGCAGACUAAGUGAGCUGUCUCCAGAAGCAUCAGAUGGUGGCCAGGAUGGCGGGCAGGUGAACUGCUUUCAACAAAUAACCAGUUAAGUUGAUAGAAAAAGUAUCAAGUGAAUUACUUGAAAUUCACAAAUCAACUCAUUCCAAGGAAUGGAACUAUAACCUGUACAAUGGCUGCAAAUCCAUCAAGGUCCAGGAACAGGGUAACAGAGCUGUAGAAUUGAUACGAAAAAUGACAAAGCCUAAUGCAGGUUAUUGUUAUGAUGCCAUUGUUUCCCUGCACUCCAUUGUCAGAUUUGUUUAUUGUG
Molecule: non-coding RNA, 1400 nt
Organism: Peromyscus maniculatus bairdii (prairie deer mouse)
Lineage: Eukaryota; Metazoa; Chordata; Mammalia; Rodentia; Cricetidae
Source: RefSeq, a predicted model, not a curated record